GUUAGUGGAAGCGUCUGGAAAGGCGCGCGAUACAGGGUGACAGCCCCGUACACAAAAGCGCAUGUGCUGUGAGCUCGAUGAGUAGGGCGGGACACGUGGUAUCCUGUCUGAAUAUGGGGGGACCAUCCUCCAAGGCUAAAUACUCCUGACUGACCGAUAGUGAACCAGUACCGUGAGGGAAAGGCGAAAAGAACCCCGGCGAGGGGAGUGAAAAAGAACCUGAAACCGUGUACGUACAAGCAGUGGGAGCACCCUUUUGGGUGUGACUGCGUACCUUUUGUAUAAUGGGUCAGCGACUUAUAUUCUGUAGCAAGGUUAACCGAAUAGGGGAGCCGGAGGGAAACCGAGUCUUAAUUGGGCGUUAAGUUGCAGGGUAUAGACCCGAAACCCGGUGAUCUAGCCAUGGGCAGGUUGAAGGUUGGGUAACACUAACUGGAGGACCGAACCGACUAAUGUUGAAAAAUUAGCGGAUGACCUGUGGCUGGGGGUGAAAGGCCAAUCAAACCGGGAGAUAGCUGGUUCUCCCCGAAAGCUAUUUAGGUAGCGCCUCGUGAAUUCAUCUCCGGGGGUAGAGCACUGUUUCGGCUAGGGGGCCAUCCCGGCUUACCAACCCGAUGCAAACUGCGAAUACCGGAGAAUGUUAUCACGGGAGACACACGGCGGGUGCUAACGUCCGUCGUGAAGAGGGAAACAACCCAGACCGCCAGCUAAGGUCCCAAAGUCAUGGUUAAGUGGGAAACGAUGUGGGAAGGCCCAGACAGCCAGGAUGUUGGCUUAGAAGCAGCCAUCAUUUAAAGAAAGCGUAAUAGCUCACUGGUCGAGUCGGCCUGCGCGGAAGAUGUAACGGGGCUAAACCAUG
RNAcentral lists this ribosomal RNA (859 nucleotides) under Salmonella enterica subsp. enterica serovar Virchow. Its description in RNAcentral is "partial 23S ribosomal RNA". It matches the Rfam family "Bacterial large subunit ribosomal RNA", at positions 328 to 1191 of the family's 2925-position model. Lineage: Bacteria; Pseudomonadati; Pseudomonadota; Gammaproteobacteria; Enterobacterales; Enterobacteriaceae. The record is from RNAcentral.